RNA transcript from Lipotes vexillifer (Yangtze River dolphin), 765 nucleotides. It is a transcript of the gene named ferritin heavy chain pseudogene, with no coding region annotated. The transcript is spliced from 2 exons. Lineage: Eukaryota; Metazoa; Chordata; Mammalia; Artiodactyla; Lipotidae. The record is from RefSeq and is a predicted model, not a curated record.
AUGGCUCCCAAACAAGCAAGUCCUCAUACUCAGACCAAUUCUUCGCGGAGGGUCGCCGCGGUUUCCUGCUUCAGCAGUGCUUGGACGGAACCCGGCGCUCGACCCCCGCUCCGGCCGGCCGCUAAGCGCCAGCCCUCGCCACCACCUCACUGCGCCCUCCGGCCGCCCCAAGGUCCCCGCCGCCGCCUUUCCUCCGCCGCCCGCCAUCCGCCAUGAUGACUGCGUCCCCCUCGCAGGUGCGCCAGAACUACCACCAGGGCUCGGAGGCCGCCAUCAGCCGCCAGAUCGACCUGGAGCUCUACGCCUCCUACGUCUACCUGUCCGUGUCAUACUAUUUUGACCGCGAUGAUGUGGCUUUGAAGAACUUUGCCAAAUACUUUCUUCACCAGUCUCGUGAGGAGAGGGAACAUGCUGAGAAACUGAUGAAGCUGCAGAACCAACGGGGUGGUGGAAUCUUCCUUCAGGAGAUCAAGAAACCAGACCGUGAUGACUGGCAGAAUGGGCUGAAUGCAAUGGAAUGUGCGCUACACUUGGAAAAGAGUGUGAAUCCGUCACUACCGGAACUGCACAAACUGGCCACUGGCAAAAAAUGACCCCCAUUUGUGUGACUUCAUUGAGACUCAUUACCUGAAUGAGGAGGUGAAAUCCAUUAAAGAAUUGGGUGACCACGUAACCAACUUGCGCAAGAUGGGGGCCCCCGAAUCUGGCAUGGCAGAGUAUCUCUUUGACAAGCACACCCUGGGAAACAGUGAUAAUGAGAGCUAA